Molecule: small nuclear RNA, 93 nt
Organism: Cervus hanglu yarkandensis (Yarkand deer)
Lineage: Eukaryota; Metazoa; Chordata; Mammalia; Artiodactyla; Cervidae
Source: Ensembl
UGCUUGGCAGCAUGUUACUAAAACUGGAACAAUACAGAGAAGAUUAACAUGGACCCUACACAAGGAUAACAUGCAAAUUUUCCCCAUUUUUUU